GGGGAUAUAGCUCAGCUGGGAGAGCAUCACACUGGCAGUGUGAGGGUCAGCGGUUCGAGUCCGCUUAUCUCCACCA
Molecule: transfer RNA, 76 nt
Filed under: Abditibacteriota bacterium
Lineage: Bacteria; Pseudomonadati; Abditibacteriota
Description: tRNA-Ala
Rfam family: tRNA
About the family: Transfer RNA (tRNA) molecules are approximately 80 nucleotides in length. Their secondary structure includes four short double-helical elements and three loops (D, anti-codon, and T loops). Further hydrogen bonds mediate the characteristic L-shaped molecular structure. tRNAs have two regions of fundamental functional importance: the anti-codon, which is responsible for specific mRNA codon recognition, and the 3' end, to which the tRNAs corresponding amino acid is attached (by aminoacyl-tRNA synthetases). tRNAs cope with the degeneracy of the genetic code in two manners: having more than one tRNA (with a specific anti-codon) for a particular amino acid; and 'wobble' base-pairing, i.e. permitting non-standard base-pairing at the 3rd anti-codon position.
Source: RNAcentral